Molecule: ribosomal RNA, 465 nt
Filed under: uncultured bacterium
Lineage: Bacteria
Description: partial 16S ribosomal RNA
Rfam family: Bacterial small subunit ribosomal RNA
Source: RNAcentral
GAUGAACGCUGGCGGCGUGCUUAACACAUGCAAGUCGAACGGAAAGGCCCCUGCUUGCAGGGGUACUCGAGUGGCGAACGGGUGAGUAACACGUGGGUGAUCUGCCCUGCACUUCGGGAUAAGCCUCGGAAACUGGGUCUAAUACCGGAUAGGACGAUGGUUUGGAUGCCAUUGUGGAAAGUUUUUCGGUGUGGGAUGAGCUCGCGGCCUAUCAGCUUGUUGGUGGGGUAAUGGCCUACCAAGGCGUCGACGGGUAGCCGGCCUGAGAGGGUGUACGGCCACAUUGGGACUGAGAUACGGCCCAGACUCCUACGGGAGGCAGCAGUGGGGAAUAUUGCACAAUGGGCGCAAGCCUGAUGCAGCGACGCCGCGUGGGGGAUGACGGCCUUCGGGUUGUAAACUCCUUUCGCUAGGGACGAAGCGCAAGUGACGGUACCUGGAGAAGAAGCACCGGCUAACUACGUG